Molecule: long non-coding RNA, 1064 nt
Organism: Esox lucius (northern pike)
Lineage: Eukaryota; Metazoa; Chordata; Actinopteri; Esociformes; Esocidae
Source: Ensembl
GUUGUGAAGGGUCCCUUUCCCAGCGCCCCCCUGAGCGGAGCUGCUCUUCGGGAGGUUAGUCGGGGCUACCGAGCUAGCUGCAGAUUAAUGAUGGCCGCAUACCAGCAGGCAUAGAGGGCGCAGCUAAACUAAGACAAAAGUGAGCUGUGGAAAAUGGUGAUGCACCAAUCGGGUGAGGAGAUAUUUGGGGUGGGGGGGCAAGCGCAGACCUAGCGUGUGAGAGAAGGGGGUUUAGAGUGUUCAAGGGAGGGGGGAUUAGAGUGUGCUCUGCGGUUGACAGUGUUCCUGCACCUCUGCUCCGCUCCACGUCUGAUGGAUUUAACACACCCUCUAUCCACUGGUGACGUGCAAAAGAAAACACCUCAACAAUGAGGCUUGACAGCUACACAGCCUGCAACUGGACUCCACUCCAGGUCUCCCUGGGCUGUCCGCUGGGCCGGGUUCCUGUUGCCUCCUGGUUGUACAAUGGGUAUCUUACACUGGGCUCCAUGAUGACUGACCUCCUGUUCCCAUGGCCUUAAGUACAGGCCGCGGCACAAAAUGACCACCUCGAACCAACCACCCUGCACGGCGACAGCCCAUGAGACCUGUGAUUGGUGGGUUUGUGAGAGACAUGUGAUUGGGCCCCAGGAGAGGAACCCCACAUCCCGCUGGUACGCUCCUGAUUACCGUCGGUUCUGCCUGGCCCCCCGCCAGACUGACCCGCAGCUCUGAUCUACAGCGACAGGUGAACCAGAUCCUGGUGCUGGAAAAUGGCUGAGUAUCACGGCCUACUGUCUAACAGAGCUGUCACACAAAACACAUGCGCUAUGUGUGUGUGUGUGUGAGUGUGUGUGUGAGUGUGUGUGUGAAAGCUAAACGUGCACAAUACCAUGAAACACACAUUCAGACCUAUGCAUGACCAAUGAAUGCACAAAAACACACCGACACACAUCCGUUCACAAAAAGACCCAUGCUCUUGGGCCCACACACAAACACACAUUGUGUUCACACAGUUAGUCUAUAGGUUAUUCAUUAAAGUUUGCAUGUCUCUGCGUAAUCUGAUUUACAGCCACUCAGUUCAU